ACGAACGCUGGCGGCGUGCUUAACACAUGCAAGUCGAACGAUGAACCGCUUUCGGGCGGGGAUUAGUGGCGAACGGGUGAGUAACACGUGGGCAAUCUGCCCUGCACUCUGGGACAAGCCCUGGAAACGGGGUCUAAUACCGGAUAUGACUGUCCAUCGCAUGGUGGAUGGUGUAAAGCUCCGGCGGUGCAGGAUGAGCCCGCGGCCUAUCAGCUUGUUGGUGAGGUAGUGGCUCACCAAGGCGACGACGGGUAGCCGGCCUGAGAGGGCGACCGGCCACACUGGGACUGAGACACGGCCCAG
RNAcentral lists this ribosomal RNA (303 nucleotides) under uncultured Streptomyces sp. Its description in RNAcentral is "bacterial SSU rRNA". It matches the Rfam family "Bacterial small subunit ribosomal RNA", at positions 29 to 334 of the family's 1533-position model. Lineage: Bacteria; Bacillati; Actinomycetota; Actinomycetes; Kitasatosporales; Streptomycetaceae. The record is from RNAcentral.